Molecule: ribosomal RNA, 968 nt
Filed under: uncultured bacterium
Lineage: Bacteria
Description: bacterial SSU rRNA
Rfam family: Bacterial small subunit ribosomal RNA
Source: RNAcentral
AGAGUUUGAUCCUGGCUCAGAAUCAACGCUGGCGGCGUGCCUAACACAUGCAAGUCGAGCGAGAAAGGGUAGCAAUACCUGAGUAAAGCGGCGCACGGGUGAGUAACACGUGGGUAAUCUGCCCUCGAGUGGGGAAUAACACCGGGAAACCGGUGCUAAUACCGCAUACGAUCACGGUGUCUUCGGAUGUUGUGAUGAAAGGAGCAAUUCGCUCUUGGAGGAGCCCGCGGCUGAUUAGCUAGUUGGUGAGGUAAUGGCUCACCAAGGCAACGAUCAGUAGCCGGUCUGAGAGGACGGUCGGCCACACUGGAACUGAGACACGGUCCAGACUCCUACGGGAGGCAGCAGUGGGGAAUUUUUCGCAAUGGGGGCAACCCUGACGAAGCAACGCCGCGUGGGUGAUGAAGUAUCUCGGUACGUAAAACCCUUUCGACGGGGAAGAAACCGCAAGGUUGACGGUACCCGUAGAAGAAGCCCCGGCUAACUCCGUGCCAGCAGCCGCGGUAAUACGGGGGGGGCAAGCGUUGUUCGGAAUUACUGGGCGUAAAGGGCGCGUAGGCGGUUCGCUAAGUUGAAUGUGAAAACUCUGGGCUUAACCCAGAGCCUGCAUUCAAUACUGGCGGGCUAGAGUUCUGGAGGGGAUAGCGGAAUUCCUGGUGUAGCGGUGAAAUGCGUAGAUAUCAGGAGGAACACCGGUGGCGAAGGCGGCUAUCUGGACAGAGUCUGACGCUGAGGCGCGAAAGCUAGGGGAGCAAACAGGAUUAGAUACCCUGGUAGUCCUAGCCCUAAACGAUGGAUACUUGCUGUGACUGGGAUUGAAUCCAGUCGUGGCGAAGCUAACGCAUUAAGUAUCCCGCCUGGGGAGUACGUCGCAAGCUGAAACUCAAAGGAAUUGACGGGGCCCGCACAGCGGUGGAGUAUGUGGUUUAAUUCGACGCAACGCGAAGAACCUUACCUGGGCUCGAACG